RNAcentral lists this ribosomal RNA (250 nucleotides) under uncultured bacterium. RNAcentral's name for it is "partial 16S ribosomal RNA". It matches the Rfam family "Bacterial small subunit ribosomal RNA", at positions 356 to 618 of the family's 1533-position model. The record is from RNAcentral.
GGAGGAUCUUCGGCAAUGGGCGAAAGCCUGACCGAGCGACGCCGCGUGAGCGAAGAAGGCCUUCGGGUUGUAAAGCUCUGUCGAGGGGGAUCAAGGGAAACUUGAGUGAUCCCUGGAGGAAGCACGGGCUAAGUUCGUGCCAGCAGCCGCGGUAAGACGAACCGUGCGAACGUUGUUCGGAAUCACUGGGCAUAAAGGGCGCGUAGGCGGCUUGUCAAGUCAGGGGUGAAAUCCGGCAGCUUAACUGUCG